CGUAUGCAACCUACCUUAAACAGGGGGAUAGCCUCUCGAAAGAGAGAUUAAUACCCCAUAAUAUAAUUGAUAGGCAUCUAUUGAUUAUUAAAGCUGAGGCGGUUUAAGAUGGGCAUGCGGUUGAUUAGGUAGUUGGUGAGGUAACGGCUCACCAAGCCUACGAUCAAUAGGGGGUCUGAGAGGAUGUCCCCCCACACUGGUACUGAGACACGGACCAGACUCCUACGGGAGGCAGCAGUAGGGAAUAUUGGACAAUGGGGGCAACCCUGAUCCAGCCAUGCCGCGUGCAGGAAGACUGCCCUAUGGGUUGUAAACUGCUUUUGUACGGGAAGAAACCCCUCUACGUGUAGAGGGUUGACGGUACCGUGAGAAUAAGGAUCGGCUAACUUCGUGCCAGCAGCCGCGGUAAUACGAAGGAUCCAAGCGUUGUCCGGAUUUACUGGGUUUAAAGGGUGCGUAGGCGGGCUAUUAAGUCAGUGGUGAAAGCCGAUCGCUUAACGAUCGAACUGCCAUUGAAACUGAUAGUCUUGAGUAUGUUUGAGGUUACUGGAAUAUAACAUGUAGCGGUGAAAUGCUUAGAUAUGUUAUAGAACACCAAUUGCGAAGGCAGGUAACUAAGUCAUAACUGACGCUGAGGCACGAAAGCGUGGGGAGCAAACAGGAUUAGAUACCCUGGUAGUCCACGCCCUAAACGUUGAAUACUCGGUCUUGGCGAUAUACAGUC
RNAcentral lists this ribosomal RNA (724 nucleotides) under uncultured Bacteroidota bacterium. RNAcentral's name for it is "bacterial SSU rRNA". It matches the Rfam family "Bacterial small subunit ribosomal RNA", at positions 116 to 838 of the family's 1533-position model. The record is from RNAcentral. Lineage: Bacteria; Pseudomonadati; Bacteroidota.